Non-coding RNA from Pelobates cultripes (western spadefoot toad), 132 nucleotides. The record is from the annotation of a GenBank genome assembly. NCBI's taxonomy places the organism in Eukaryota, Metazoa, Chordata, Amphibia, Anura, Pelobatidae.
UCUAUUUAUACCAACUUCAGAGUUCUAUGUUGCCAUGAUUGAUCAGGAUAUAUAUAUAUAUAUAUAUAUAUAUAUAUAUAUAUAUCCUGAUCAAUCAUGGCAACAUAGAACUCUGAAGUUGGUAUAAAUAGA